Molecule: ribosomal RNA, 100 nt
Filed under: Desulfobacteraceae bacterium
Lineage: Bacteria; Pseudomonadati; Thermodesulfobacteriota; Desulfobacteria; Desulfobacterales; Desulfobacteraceae
Description: partial 23S ribosomal RNA
Rfam family: Bacterial large subunit ribosomal RNA
Source: RNAcentral
GAAGACCCCUUGAAGACUACAAGGUUGAUAGGUCGGGUGUGUAAGUACAGUAAUGUAUUGAGCUAACCGAUACUAAUAGGUCGUGAGGCUUAGCCACUUU